RNAcentral lists this ribosomal RNA (261 nucleotides) under uncultured bacterium. RNAcentral's name for it is "partial small subunit ribosomal RNA". It matches the Rfam family "Bacterial small subunit ribosomal RNA", at positions 26 to 285 of the family's 1533-position model. The record is from RNAcentral.
AGGACGAACGCUGGCGGCGUGCUUAACACAUGCAAGUCGAGCGAGGCCCCUUCCUUCGGGAGGGGAGCCCUAGCGGCGAACGGGUGAGUAACACGUGGGCAAUCUGCCCCUAGCACUGGGAUAACUCCGGGAAACCGGGGCUAAUACCGGAUAUGACCUCCGAGGGCAUCCUCUGGAGGUGGAAAGGAUUCUGGCUAGGGAUGAGCCCGCGGCCUAUCAGCUAGUUGGUGGGGUAAUGGCCCACCAAGGCGACGACGGGUA